This 350-nucleotide ribosomal RNA is filed under the name uncultured bacterium. RNAcentral's name for it is "bacterial SSU rRNA". It matches the Rfam family "Bacterial small subunit ribosomal RNA", at positions 962 to 1323 of the family's 1533-position model. The record is from RNAcentral.
CGAUGAACCUUACCUGGGUUUGACAUGUACCUGCAAACCUCCAGAAACGGAGGAAUCCUUAGAGGGUGGUACACAGCUGUUGCAUGGCUGUCGUCAGCUCGUGACGUGAGUUGUUCUCUUAAGUGAGGUAACGAGCGCAACCCCCAUCGUAUGUUACUGUGUCAUACGAGACUGCCCAGCAUUAUUUUGUUGGGAGGAAGGAGGGGACGACGUCAAGUCAUCAUGAUGCUUAUAUCCAGGGCUACACACAUCCUACAAUGGAUUGUACAGAGGGUUGCAAGACCGCAAGGUGGAGCUAAUCCCUAAAACAAUCCUCAGUUGGGAUUGCAGGCUGAAACUCGCCUGCAUGA